GAUGAACGCUAGCGGCAGGCCUAACACAUGCGAGUCGAGGGAGGAGCUUUCGGGCUUCGACCGGCGUACGGGUGCGUAACGCGUAUACAAUCUGCCUUUCACAUAGGGAUAGCCCGAAGAAAUUUGGAUUAAUACCUAAUGGUAUAUAGGAGUGGCAUCACAUUUAUAUUAAAGCUGAGGCGGUGAAAGAUGAGUAUGCGUUCUAUUAGCUAGUUGGAGAGGUAACGGCUCCCCAAGGCGACGAUAGAUAGGGGUUCUGAGAGGGAUAUCCCCCACACUGGUACUAAGAUACGGACCAGACUCCUACGGGAGGCAGCAGUGAGGAAUAUUGGACAAUGGUCGGAAGACUGAUCCAGCCAUGCCGCGUGCAGGAAGACGGCCUUAUGGGUUGUAAACUGCUUUUGCAGGGGAAGAAUAAGGACUACGAGUAGUUUGAUGACGGUACUCUGCGAAUAAGCAUCGGCUAACUCCGUG
RNAcentral lists this ribosomal RNA (474 nucleotides) under uncultured bacterium. RNAcentral's name for it is "partial 16S ribosomal RNA". It matches the Rfam family "Bacterial small subunit ribosomal RNA", at positions 28 to 507 of the family's 1533-position model. The record is from RNAcentral.